This 547-nucleotide long non-coding RNA is filed under the name Homo sapiens (human). RNAcentral describes it as "ANKRD42 divergent transcript (ANKRD42-DT)". Lineage: Eukaryota; Metazoa; Chordata; Mammalia; Primates; Hominidae. The record is from RNAcentral.
CACGCUACUUCCGGUUUCCUUUCCCUCAGCUAUUCCAUGGCUUUUCGUGUGGACAAAUCGGGAGGUGGUGUAAACUGGUUUUUGGUGAAAUUCGGCUCGGCCUCAUGCGAACCUAUCUAGGUCCGUCUCUGGAGUGGCCUGUCAUCGAUCGCGCCCUCCAUCGCUGAGCGACACAAGUGGAACCCCCCAGGACUGCAUUCUGCGAAACUACCCUGCUUUUCCCCCAGUUUUGGUCUGUGAACACAUUUGGGAAAUUCUUCUGAUCCUACCGCUACUCUCUUGAGAUGAAGAAACAGCUCAGAUUUGACCAAGAUCACACAAGUAGGAGUUGAGGAAUUGGAACCCACUAUGACUGACUCCAAAUUAAUAUAGUGUUUAUAGCCACUUACAUAAUAAUGGUAAAGGUUUUAUUUUUUUCACUAUACAAUAUGUAGUAGAUAAAUUUACUGAGGAAAUGAGACAGCACGUGACAAAUCCUUAAAGGAUACACACAUGACAGGAAGGAUUAGAAGAGGAAACAGAAACAGGUAACAAAAAAAAAAAAAAA